This 320-nucleotide ribosomal RNA is filed under the name uncultured eukaryote. Its description in RNAcentral is "partial 18S ribosomal RNA". It matches the Rfam family "Eukaryotic small subunit ribosomal RNA", at positions 1470 to 1796 of the family's 1831-position model. The record is from RNAcentral.
CCCUUAGAUGUUCUGGGCUGCACGCGUGCUACACUGAUUAUUUCAACAAGUGUUUUAACUGGAGAGUUUGCGUAAUCCUGAAAUGUUAUCGUGAUGGGAGUAGAGUAUUGUAUUUGUUAAUCUUUAACGAGGAAUUCCUAGUAAGUGUAGGUUUAUAAGUUGUUCUGAUUACGUCCCUGCCCUUUGUACACACCGCCCGUCGCUACUACUGAUUGGGUGUUCAAGUGAGAUGCUUAGACCCUUGUUGCAUGGUUCAUUAUUGUGCUCCGAAAGGAAAAAGUUUCAAGCUUGAGUGUCUAGAGGAAGUAAAAGUCGUAACA